This 442-nucleotide ribosomal RNA is filed under the name uncultured bacterium. RNAcentral's name for it is "partial 16S ribosomal RNA". It matches the Rfam family "Bacterial small subunit ribosomal RNA", at positions 338 to 795 of the family's 1533-position model. The record is from RNAcentral.
CCUACGGGAGGCAGCAGUGGGGAAUAUUGGGCAAUGGGCGCAAGCCUGACCCAGCAACGCCGCGUGAAGGAAGAAGGCUUUCGGGUUGUAAACUUCUUUUGACAGGGAAGAGUAGAAGACGGUACCUGUCGAAUAAGCCACGGCUAACUACGUGCCAGCAGCCGCGGUAAUACGUAGGUGGCAAGCGUUGUCCGGAUUUACUGGGUGUAAAGGGCGUGUAGCCGGGUUGACAAGUCAGAUGUGAAAUCCUGCGGCUUAACCGCAGAACUGCAUUUGAAACUGUUGAUCUUGAGUACUGGAGAGGCAGACGGAAUUCCUAGGGGAGGGGGGAAAUGGGGAGAAAUUAGGAGGAGCACCAGGGGCGAAGGCGGUCUGGUGGACAGCAAAUGAGGGGGAGGCGCGAAGGCGGGGGGAGAAAACAGGAUUAGAUACCCGGGUAGUC